RNAcentral lists this ribosomal RNA (465 nucleotides) under Vreelandella stevensii. RNAcentral's name for it is "partial 16S ribosomal RNA". It matches the Rfam family "Bacterial small subunit ribosomal RNA", at positions 338 to 795 of the family's 1533-position model. The record is from RNAcentral. Lineage: Bacteria; Pseudomonadati; Pseudomonadota; Gammaproteobacteria; Oceanospirillales; Halomonadaceae.
CCUACGGGUGGCUGCAGUGGGGAAUAUUGGACAAUGGGCGAAAGCCUGAUCCAGCCAUGCCGCGUGUGUGAAGAAGGCCUUCGGGUUGUAAAGCACUUUCAGUGGGGAAGAAAGCCUUGGGGCUAAUACCCUCGAGGAAGGACAUCACCCACAGAAGAAGCACCGGCUAACUCCGUGCCAGCAGCCGCGGUAAUACGGAGGGUGCGAGCGUUAAUCGGAAUUACUGGGCGUAAAGCGCGCGUAGGCGGUCUGAUAAGCCGGUUGUGAAAGCCCCGGGCUCAACCUGGGAACGGCAUCCGGAACUGUCAGGCUAGAGUGCAGGAGAGGAAGGUAGAAUUCCCGGUGUAGCGGUGAAAUGCGUAGAGAUCGGGAGGAAUACCAGUGGCGAAGGCUGCCUUCUGGACUGACACUGACGCUGAGGUGCGAAAGCGUGGGUAGCAAACAGGAUUAGAUACCCGGGUAGUC